Onychomys torridus (southern grasshopper mouse) is the source of this 375-nucleotide non-coding RNA. Lineage: Eukaryota; Metazoa; Chordata; Mammalia; Rodentia; Cricetidae. The record is from the annotation of a RefSeq genome assembly.
AUGAAGUUGCCUGUUCUGCUGUUGGUGCUGCUGUUGCUCAGGAUUCCUGCUUCCAGAGGAGAUGUUGUGAUGACCCAAACUCCAACCUCCCUGCCUGUCAGCCUUGGAGAUCAAGCCUCCCUCUCCUGCAAGUCUAGUCAGACCCUCGUACUAAGUAGUGGAAACAUAUAUUUGUACUGGUACCUGCAGAAGCCAGGCCAGUCUCCACAACUCUUGAUAUACAAGGUUUCCAACCAAUUUUCUGGAGUCCCAGACAGGUUCAGUGGCAGUGGGUCAGGCACAGAUUUCACACUCAAGAUCAGCAGAGUGGAACCUGAGGAUUUAGGAGUCUAUUACUGCAUGCAAGCAAUAGAAACACUAAGAUUCCUAACAUAA